Molecule: ribosomal RNA, 447 nt
Filed under: uncultured organism
Description: partial 16S ribosomal RNA
Rfam family: Bacterial small subunit ribosomal RNA
Source: RNAcentral
ACACUCCUACGGGAGGCAGCAGUGGGGAAUAUUGGACAAUGGGCGCAAGCCUGAUCCAGCCAUGCCGCGUGAGUGAUGAAGGCCCUAGGGUUGUAAAGCUCUUUUGUGCGGGAAGAUAAUGACGGUACCGCAAGAAUAAGCCCCGGCUAACUUCGUGCCAGCAGCCGCGGUAAUACGAAGGGGGCUAGCGUUGCUCGGAAUCACUGGGCGUAAGGGUGCGUAGGCGGGUCUUUAAGUCAGGGGUGAAAUCCUGGAGCUCAACUCCAGAACUGCCUUUGAUACUGAAGAUCUUGAGUUCGGGAGAGGUGAGUGGAACUGCGAGUGUAGAGGUGAAAUUCGUAGAUAUUCGCAAGAACACCAGUGGCGAAGGCGGCUCACUGGCCCGAUACUGACGCUGAGGCACGAAAGCGUGGGGAGCAAACAGGAUUAGAAACCCGAGUAGUCCCA